RNAcentral lists this ribosomal RNA (605 nucleotides) under Penicillium soppii. Its description in RNAcentral is "partial large subunit ribosomal RNA". It matches the Rfam family "Eukaryotic large subunit ribosomal RNA", at positions 77 to 695 of the family's 3401-position model. The record is from RNAcentral. Lineage: Eukaryota; Fungi; Ascomycota; Eurotiomycetes; Eurotiales; Aspergillaceae.
GCCUCAGUAACGGCGAGUGAAGCGGCAAGAGCUCAAAUUUGAAAGCUGGCUCCUUCGGGGUCCGCAUUGUAAUUUGCAGAGGAUGCUUCGGGAGCGGUCCCCAUCUAAGUGCCCUGGAACGGGACGUCAUAGAGGGUGAGAAUCCCGUAUGGGAUGGGGUGUCCGCGCCCGUGUGAAGCUCCUUCGACGAGUCGAGUUGUUUGGGAAUGCAGCUCUAAAUGGGUGGUAAAUUUCAUCUAAAGCUAAAUAUUGGCCGGAGACCGAUAGCGCACAAGUAGAGUGAUCGAAAGAUGAAAAGCACUUUGAAAAGAGAGUUAAAAAGCACGUGAAAUUGUUGAAAGGGAAGCGCUUGCGACCAGACUCGCUCGUGGGGUUCAGCCGGCAUUCGUGCCGGUGUACUUCCCCGCGAGCGGGCCAGCGUCGGUUUGGGCGGUCGGUCAAAGGCCCUCGGAAGGUAACGCCCCCUCGGGGGCGUCUUAUAGCCGAGGGUGCAAUGCGACCUGCCUGGACCGAGGAACGCGCUUCGGCUCGGACGCUGGCAUAAUGGUCGUAAGCGACCCGUCUUGAAACACGGACCAAGGAGUCUAACAUCUACGCGAGUGUUC